This is a long non-coding RNA of Helianthus annuus (common sunflower), 377 nucleotides long. RefSeq lists it as uncharacterized. NCBI's taxonomy places the organism in Eukaryota, Viridiplantae, Streptophyta, Magnoliopsida, Asterales, Asteraceae. The record is from RefSeq and is a predicted model, not a curated record. The transcript has 3 exons.
GAGAGAAACAUGUCAUUUGGGAGUGAAUAUUGGAUAUUGAUAGAUAAACUACAUAUUCCUCAUAGUGAGACAAACAUGUAUUCUGCUCUUAUAGUUUUGCCUGAAACAUUUGAUAAUUGAGGAAGGCCUUGCUACACUUUUUGGAAAUGGUUAUCAACACGUGUUGUGAUUAUUAGUGCUAACGAAUAUGUAAAGAAGUCUUUUUUUUUAAUUCAAGUUUAGGGAUUUAAUCAUGAAAAAAGGACUUUUUUCGUUUAUAUUUUGAUACAUACAGGAAUUUUAUCUUCCAAAAUAGAACUUUUAUGUUAAUAACAAAGUGUGAGGACUUUAUUGUUAGUAAUUGCAAGAAGGGGAUACAUGUAAUUCUUUUAUGAAUU